AAAUGAAUAGACGGGGGCCCGCACAAGCGGUGGAGCAUGUGGUUUAAUUCGACGCAACGCGAAGAACCUUACCAAGGCUUGACAUCCCGAUGUAACAUGCAGAAAUGUAUGCCUCCUUUCGGGGACAUCGGUGACAGGUGGUGCAUGGUUGUCGUCAGCUCGUGUCGUGAGAUGUUGGGUUAAGUCCCGCAACGAGCGCAACCCCUAUGUUUAGUAGCCAGCGGGUAAUGCCGGGCACACUAGAGAGACUGCCGUGGAGAACACGGAGGAAGGUGGGGACGACGUCAAAUCAUCAUGCCCCUUAUGUCUUGGGCUACACACGUGCUACAAUGGGUGCAACAAAGUGAAGCAAGGGCGUGAGCCGGAGCAAAACACGAAAAGCAUCCUCAGUUCGGAUUGCAGUCUGCAACUCGAGUGCAUGAAGUUGGAAUCGCUAGUAAUCGCGAAUCAGCAUGUCGCGGUGAAUACGUUCCCGGGCCUUGUACACACCGCCCGU
RNAcentral lists this ribosomal RNA (496 nucleotides) under uncultured bacterium. Its description in RNAcentral is "bacterial SSU rRNA". It matches the Rfam family "Bacterial small subunit ribosomal RNA", at positions 903 to 1397 of the family's 1533-position model. The record is from RNAcentral.